RNAcentral lists this ribosomal RNA (496 nucleotides) under uncultured bacterium. RNAcentral describes it as "partial 16S ribosomal RNA". It matches the Rfam family "Bacterial small subunit ribosomal RNA", at positions 30 to 523 of the family's 1533-position model. The record is from RNAcentral.
AUUGAACGCUGGCGGAAUGCUUUACACAUGCAAGUCGAACGGUAGAGGGGGCAACCCCUCGAGAGUGGCGAACGGGUGAGUAAUAUAUCGGAACGUGCCCAGUCGUGGGGGAUAACGUAGCGAAAGUUACGCUAAUACCGCAUACGAUCUACGGAUGAAAGCGGGGGAUCGCAAGACCUCGCUCGAUUGGAGCGGCCGAUAUCAGAUUAGGUAGUUGGUGGGGUAAAGGCUCACCAAGCCAACGAUCUGUAGCUGGUCUAGGAGGAAGACCAGCCACAAUGGAACUGAGACACGGUCCAGACUCCUACGGUAGUCAGCAGUGGGGAAUUUUGGACAAUGGACGCAAGUCUGAUCCAGCCAUUCCGCGUGCAGGAUGAAGGCCCUCGGGUUGUAAACUGCUUUUGUACGGAACGAAAAGGUUUCCAUUAAUACUGGGAGCUCAUGACGGUACCGUAAGAAUAAGCACCGGCUAACUACGUGCCAGCAGCCGCCGUAA